This 467-nucleotide ribosomal RNA is filed under the name uncultured bacterium. RNAcentral's name for it is "partial 16S ribosomal RNA". It matches the Rfam family "Bacterial small subunit ribosomal RNA", at positions 28 to 506 of the family's 1533-position model. The record is from RNAcentral.
GACGAACGCUGGCGGCGUGCUUAACACAUGCAAGUCGAACGGAAAGGCCCUGCUUUUGUGGGGUGCUCGAGUGGCGAACGGGUGAGUAACACGUGAGUAACCUGCCCUUGACUUUGGGAUAACUUCAGGAAACUGGGGCUAAUACCGGAUAGGAGCUCCUGCUGCAUGGUGGGGGUUGGAAAGUUUCGGCGGUUGGGGAUGGACUCGCGGCUUAUCAGCUUGUUGGUGGGGUAGUGGCUUACCAAGGCUUUGACGGGUAGCCGGCCUGAGAGGGUGACCGGCCACAUGGGGCCUGGGAUGCGGCCCAGACUCCUACGGGGGGCAGCGGGGGGGAUUAUUGCACAAGGGGCGGAAGCCGGCUGCGGCACCGCCGCGUGCGGGAUGACGGCCUUCGGGUUGUAAACCGCUUUCGCCUUUGCCGAAGCGGGGGUGCCGGUAAUGGGUAAAAAAGCCCCGGCUACCUUCGU